GUCGGUUGCACCUGAAAACGGUGGGCUAACCCGCAAGGGAGGUAGCUGUUUACGGUGUGAUCGGUGAUUGGGGUGAAGUCGUAACAAGGUAGCUGUAGGUGAACCUGCAGAAGGAUCA
RNAcentral lists this ribosomal RNA (118 nucleotides) under uncultured eukaryote. Its description in RNAcentral is "partial small subunit ribosomal RNA". It matches the Rfam family "Bacterial small subunit ribosomal RNA", at positions 1410 to 1525 of the family's 1533-position model. The record is from RNAcentral.